GAUGAACGCUGGCGGCGUGCCUAAUACAUGCAAGUCGAGCGAACAGACGAGGAGCUUGCUCCUCUGACGUUAGCGGCGGACGGGUGAGUAACACGUGGAUAACCUACCUAUAAGACUGGGAUAACUUCGGGAAACCGGAGCUAAUACCGGAUAAUAUAUUGAACCGCAUGGUUCAAUAGUGAAAGACGGUUUUGCUGUCACUUAUAGAUGGAUCCGCGCCGCAUUAGCUAGUUGGUAAGGUAACGGCUUACCAAGGCGACGAUGCGUAGCCGACCUGAGAGGUGAUUCGCCAACCCAGAACUGAGACACGGUCCAGACUCCUACGGGAGGCAGCAGUAGGGAAUCUUCCGCAAUGGGCGAAAGCCUGACGGAGCAACGCCGCGUGAGUGAUGAAGGUCUUCGGAUCGUAAAACUCUGUUAUUAGGGAAGAACAAAUGUGUAAGUAACUAUGCACGUCUUGACGGUACCUAAUCAGAAAGCCACGGCUAACUACGUG
Molecule: ribosomal RNA, 496 nt
Filed under: uncultured bacterium
Lineage: Bacteria
Description: partial 16S ribosomal RNA
Rfam family: Bacterial small subunit ribosomal RNA
Source: RNAcentral